Long non-coding RNA from Salvia splendens (bonfire salvia), 1945 nucleotides. RefSeq lists it as uncharacterized. The record is from RefSeq and is a predicted model, not a curated record. The transcript has 5 exons. NCBI's taxonomy places the organism in Eukaryota, Viridiplantae, Streptophyta, Magnoliopsida, Lamiales, Lamiaceae.
UGAUCUGGUUAUCUUUACUCAGCUGCCAGAAUUUUGAUGCGAACCGACAUAAGCCGCCAUACGAGAUUGAUAACAUUGCAAUGGAGAAUAUGGUGUUGGGUUUACAGGGUUGUUUCCCUAAGUCUCUCCAGAAAUGAUUGUUUUGUUUCUGGAUCACUGGAUAGAAUUGUCUUGCUUUGGGAUCAAAGGGCUGAGAAAUAUCAGGUGCAGAGCUUGAAUUGCAUUAUUAAUUUGUUGAAUUAUUUUCUCAUCCAUCUUUGCUAAAAGUGUUCCUCUGGAAGUAUGGUAUUCUAUGUGUUCAAGGGAGACCGGCUGCAGCUUACGACUAAGGAAUUUUUUUCUGUUGCCUUUGGAGGAUAUAUAAGAAUGUUGAUGCUAGGAAAUAUGAAAAGGUCGGAAUAUGUAAUAUGAAUGAAACUAUUUAUAAAAUUUACAGGUUCUGAUUAUGAAACUGUUUAUAGGGCCCUUUUGACAUAUUUUCUCUUAAAAGAGAUGUUUCAGAAGCCAAUAAAUGUUUUGAAGUUCAGUAAUGACUGCAGUCUUAUGCUUCUGACAACAUUUAAUGGUCAUAUUCAUGUGCUUGAUUCCUUCCAUGAAACCCUUUAGUUUUUGACACACAACGUCAAGCCAUUCUACUUUGGAGGCUUCUUUCAGUCCUGAGGCAAUGUUUGUCAUAUCAGGUUGUCUCUGCCAGAUCCAGUUGAAUAGUACUUGAUAUAGUAUUUGUGAACUAAUGCCAAGUGAUUUUGAGACAAUAAAGUUAUUUGUAAAGGAAGUAAGGAACUGCUUUAUUUAAGCUCCUUUUUCUCACUUGAUUAUCCACACAUUGGGUGACUGCCAGCUCAACAUCAACACUGACUGUUUUAAUAAUUUUUCAUACAAGACAGUUUUAUUGAUUCCCACUACCUGAAAGUGUACUUUAGUUGGUUCUGUUUGGAAUAUCUUGUUGUUUAGGAAAAUAAAUUCAGCUGAAAUAGAUUUUUGUCAGCAUGUAGAAUGCUUGGGAAUUAUAUAAUACUCCUUACUAGGUAUCUGAAAUGCCAUAAAGAUGAAGAAUUCAAGUUUCUAUAUGUUAUUUCUACUGGGAUCCAGUUAAGCUAGGCUUACACUUUCAGAGUAUCAUAAUCAAGAUAGAGAAUGACCUGAAAUCUCACCAUUAUUUUCUUUUGAAUGAGCUUUAGCUGACAUAUUAUAUAUAACUAUUCCUUUUUCCCCUUUUGAUUGAUCCCUGUGAAUGUGAGCUCAUCUCAUGAAGCUUUUUUGUGUUGGAUUUGAUGCAUCCAGGCUGGUAAAAGAGGCACUAACAAUUUUCUUUUUCUUCUUUGCUUUUAACCUACAUGAAAGGUUCUGGAGAUGUAGCUUUUAUGUUUGGAAUUUCGGAGAGUAAAAGAGGUUACCAGUUGGAUGAGUACUAGAGCAGAAUCUCCUGUAAUCAAAUGGGCCCAUGAUGCUUAAUGUUUGUAACUGGCUUUCUGACUUAAUCCUUCUGGAUACCAGACUUAGAAGGAAGAAGGAAUUUGCAAUGGCGGUGAUCCCAGAAAAUGGCAUGAAAUGUUUUUAUUCAUUGAGCUUUUGCCUGGGACAAAUCAGUUGGAGACUAAGAGAUGGAGAUUACAAACUAUGGCGGCACUCCAUGUGAGUAAUGAAAGCAGUUUUAUAUGCUUUCAAUAUUUAUUCCAUUUCAUGGCGUCUUCUUGAGGUCUGGCGUGGUGCACGAGGGACUAUUUGUGGAGGUGAGAAUUGUCGGAGCAAUAAGUCAUCUUGGAGUGUCAUGUAGGUAUGCCGUGUAACUUUUACAACAAUUUGAUCUGUUUUUGGUAGAUAUUUCCUCCUUGUGUAUGAUAGGUUGUGAAAUGAAUGGAUAGUGAGCCUGCAAGGAGUUCGAAUGCUCGAAGAACAACAAUAUAUAUGCUGAAUGAAACAGUUGUUUGAUAAAUUUACUGAA